UGACAUAACGUAACUUUCUUGAGGCUCGCAUGGAUCAUUCCCAACCAUACUGACAUGGAUAUCAAACGAACGGGAAUUGAAGAAGCUAUGCGAUGGUGCACACAUAACGAACGUCAAACCAGGUGGGAAAAAGGUGUCACGUGACCUCACGUAUAAUUCGCUUGUCCAUGCGUGAUUCCCAACCAUAUUGACAUGGAUAUCAAACGAACGGGCUUCGAAAAAGCUCUGCGAUGGUACACACGUAACGAACGUCAAACCAGGUGGGAAAAAGGUGUCACGUGACCUGACGUAACUUUAUUCAGGCUCUCAUGGGUCAUCUCCAACCAUACUGACAUGGAUAUCAAACGAACGGGCUUCGAAAAAGCUCUGCGAUGGUACACACGUAACGAACGUCAAACCAGGUGGAAAAAUGGUGUCACGUGACCUGACGUAACUUUAUUCAGGCUCUCAUGGGUCAUCUCCAACCAUACUGACAUGGAUAUCAAACGAACGGGAAUUGAAGAAGCUAUGCGAUGGUACACACGUAACGAACGUCAAACCAGGCGGGAAAAGGGUGUCACGUGACCUCACGUAUAAUUCGCUGCUCCAUGCGUGAUUCCCAACCACAUUGACAUGGAUAUCAAACGAACGGGCUUCGAAGAAGCUUUGCGAUGGUACACACGUAACGAACGUCAAACCAGUGUGAAAAGGGGAUCAUGUGA
Molecule: long non-coding RNA, 701 nt
Organism: Dermacentor silvarum
Lineage: Eukaryota; Metazoa; Arthropoda; Arachnida; Ixodida; Ixodidae
Exons: 3
Source: RefSeq, a predicted model, not a curated record